This is a long non-coding RNA of Leptopilina boulardi, 2244 nucleotides long. RefSeq lists it as uncharacterized. The transcript is spliced from 5 exons. Lineage: Eukaryota; Metazoa; Arthropoda; Insecta; Hymenoptera; Figitidae. The record is from RefSeq and is a predicted model, not a curated record.
UUUAAUAUGAAUAGGGGGAAAAAAAAGGAUUGACGCGAGAUAACCUGGUGGUUCAAUUAUCGUUGAGUGCCGAAAUUACAUUUGAAUUGCGAUUAAUGGGCACCCGGUACAUGCGACGCAUUUUGGGGGAGAAGGAAGUUUCAGUUCGGAGGGUUCUCUCGCAAAUCCUGGGGUGGUAUUUAGGGGUUGGUUUCUAUGCCUGGCGAGAUGAACAAAGAAAAUUCGGAAGAGGGCGAUAAAUCAGCUACUCGAAUUCAAGGUCUAGCAAGUUCAAGGGCCAAUGACCUUGGAAGGCAUCGCAUCUGUACAUUUUAUAAAAGGGGACGAUUUGCAAUUUUAGAAAGAGAAUUACAUUUUAUAAUACAGAAUUUGAAAAUCGAAAAAAAAAUCUAAUAAACUUAAUUUUCCAAUUUCGGAAAAAUAAUUUUCAAAUGGAGCCAAUUUUUUUUUUUUAUUAUAGUGAUGGAAUGAGUUUUUAUUUAUUCAAUUAUUGAAAUAGGAGAAAAAUUGAAAAAAAUAAAGAGGAGAAAAAAAACAAAUAAAAUUGCCUUUGGCUUUUGAUUAAAAAAAAAGAAAAAAAAAAAAGAAAAGAACACACCGGAACCUCUUUCAUCUGGCGUGAAAAAUGAGUCACUUUAAAUUCCACCCUUCGACUUCGCUGUAAUAAAAACGAUUUUAAGUUGCAGUCAAGUCUCUGAUAAGGAUUUAAUAAACAGUGAAUGUAGUGAAUUAAAUUUCUUUAGUUUACAGAUAGUAAACAAGUAAAAAGUCAAUUUGAUUUUUAAAGAAAAUUUUUUUUCUGAUUUUCUUAUUUUACUUAUGUGAAAAUAAUAAAUUUUUUUUAUACAAAAUAAAAAUUAUUUUACAAAUAAUUUGUAGAAUAUCUUUUAUAAACGCAGGAAUUAGGUUUUUUAUUUUUAUUUAUCUCUUAUUGAUUUAAAAAAAAGGCGCUCUUAUUAGAAUAAUUUAAAAAAAAAGCAUUUAAAGAGCGCCUUUUUCCACCAAUGAGAAAAUUGUUGUAGCGCAAGCGCAGUAGUUAUAUUCGUUAACGGUUGUUGGUAGCUUUGAAUUUGUAUUGCAAAUGUACAUCGUGAUAUUGAAUCAAUUUGUAAAUAAUAACAAACAAAACAAAAAAAGUAAAAAGGAAGUAAGGAGACAAGAAAUUCAGAAAAUAUAAUCAAGAUUAGAAUUAGCCUGAUUAAUCAUAUAUAUAGGCAGAAUAAAAGAAAAUGAAUGUAUACAUUGUGGCAGCAUCGAAAUAUUUAAUAAUUGUAAUUAUAUAAAGAAAAUCUCAUCUUAUCAAGGAGUGAGAUGGCGUUGGUAGACAUUUUCGAAAAGUAUCUUCUCGCGUUGAGUUUGACCACGUGUUUUUAAAAUAAUUUAAUUUCUAAAUUUUUAUCAUGCGGACAAAUUUGAAAAUCACCGUUCGAGUGCAGCUUCGGAAUAGAGAUCGUGUAUAUAGGCGAAGGAUUUUUCAAGAGGCUUACGAGUGAAACAGAACACCCAGUACACAAACGAGUUUCCGGUGUUCCGGACGAGUAGCAAAAUCAAUAAUGCCAACGAUCAUUAAAGUCAUUUACGUCCCAGUAAUGGUAAGCUAACGAAUGGACGAAUAAACACCGACUCCGUUGCUUUUUCACACUCGAUUGGAUAAAUGCUACAGCGCGUGUUUCUUUGCCAAUAGUAAACGCCUUUGACCCGCAGGAAGACAGCACUUGUUCAAAUAUCUGGCCACCGUUUUUGCUUGGAGCGAAAGAUUAUUUUUACGAUGCUCCCCUUUUUUUUAUUAUACAUUAUGGAAACACACACAGGAAGAAGCGCAACAAAAAAAUAACUGAUAAACUAGAGGAUUGCAUGACGAUGAAAUGUACUUGCGGAAGUGAUAUUGGCAAAGAGAGUGCUUGUACCGCAAUGAAAAUUGAUCCGCCUUAUCGAUCGGGAUCUUCAAGAGUGCGAUUUGAACGCGCCUUAACCUCGGGAAAAAGGAUCGUGUAGGUGCGCGCGGACUUUGCGUUCUCAUGGGUCCGAGAAUGCAAAAGGUUGAAAAAGGAAUCUCCAUGGGUUCGCAGGGCAACCACCAAGUAGCCAUGAAGAAGAAGAAGAAGAAGAAGAAGAAGAAGAAAACGCCGAUCAAGAGAGAAGGCGUAUAAGUGUAUAGGGUCUGCGAUUCUCAAGGCCAGGAACGUUAUCCAAGAUUCUUGUUCCUCGAUUUUACCUUUCUAAUUUUUUUUUAAUGUUAUUAAA